AGUCAUUCUCGUCAUCUUUUCCCUUCACAGAAAUACAAAGAAGAAAGGAAAAAAAUUGUGGUUUUCUUCUUCCAUGGCCAUUUAUCAUCUAAGGAAAAUAGUUGAGAGAAGGUCGGAUUUUCGAGGGUUAAAGGCGAGAAUGUUCGUCGAAUCUGUUUGUGCUAGCAUAAUUUGAUUUUCUUACAUAUAAAUUUUAAGUAAUUAGCUUUUUCAAAUAUAAAUCAUAGAUAAUAGAAUGAGUAUUGAAAUAUCAUGAAUAUAUAUGCAUGAGUAUAUAUUCUAUGUUAUAAUGAAAAACUAUGGAAAGUUAGACAAUAAUAUGAAUGUUUGAUGUAAAUGUAUUAUAAUGCAUGAAUGACAUGUGAAAGAAUGAAAAUGUAAUAGAAGUAAUAUGAAAGGUUAUGUAAUGAUUAGUAUUAUGUGAACUAUUGCUUGGUAAUAUUGUAAAUGCCCUAUUAAACGAUCUCCGAUAGAGUCGUUUAUAGUUGGCAUGUCAUAGGAUUAGUUAUAUGGCGAUUUCUUUGGUUUAUACUAAUGAGGUGCGGAGCUCAUAUUACUUUGGACGUACCGAUGAAGUGCGGAGAACACAUUACUUCGGUUUAUACCGUUGAGGCGUGAAACGCAUAUUACUUUGGACAUACCAAUGAUGCAUUAGGUGCAAUUUAUAUUGGUUUGAUGAUGAGAUGAUCUAUGUACCCGUCUUGAGUCAAUGUUCAGUUGAUAAGGGUUGUAAACUAUUUUACAUGAUUGAUUAUUUUAAUUGAUAUGGGAAAAAUGAAUAAAUCAUGUUGAUUUGGUGAAUUGAAUGUAAUGAAUAAUAGCAUGUGAAUGACCAUGCGGAUUGAGUGCGAUGAGCCUUGAGGGCCAAUAAUGUUAUGAAACUAGUUAAGCUACUCGAUUUGGUGUAACUGAGAUAUGGAUAUUGAUUUGAAAAUGUCAAAAGUUAUAAAUAA
This is a long non-coding RNA of Gossypium arboreum, 953 nucleotides long. RefSeq lists it as uncharacterized. The record is from RefSeq and is a predicted model, not a curated record. The transcript has 2 exons. NCBI's taxonomy places the organism in Eukaryota, Viridiplantae, Streptophyta, Magnoliopsida, Malvales, Malvaceae.